RNAcentral lists this ribosomal RNA (253 nucleotides) under uncultured bacterium. RNAcentral's name for it is "partial 16S ribosomal RNA". It matches the Rfam family "Bacterial small subunit ribosomal RNA", at positions 524 to 776 of the family's 1533-position model. The record is from RNAcentral.
UACGAAGGGGGCUAGCGUUGCUCGGAAUCACUGGGCGUAAAGGGUGCGUAGGCGGGUCUUUAAGUCAGGGGUGAAAUCCUGGAGCUCAACUCCAGAACUGCCUUUGAUACUGAGGAUCUUGAGUUCGGGAGAGGUGAGUGGAACUGCGAGUGUAGAGGUGAAAUUCGUAGAUAUUCGCAAGAACACCUAUAGCGAAGGCAGCUUACUAGGCUGUAACUGACGCUGAGGCACGAAAGUGUGGGGAUCAAACAGG